CAGGAGGAGAGGCUAACAAGGUUUUCAGACAACAUUGAUCACCAGUGGACGCUACUCUAAUUCCUAACUUUUCCAAAUACCAUCAAAACAAAGUUGUGAACCAACACUUACUGAAGAUUUGAGGAAAAUGAUGAAAACUAGUAGUACUGUACUGUAUAAGCAGCAACUAAAAGCUGAAUAUUAGCCAUUAUUCGACUACAUUUUGUUGACUAUUUGUCAUCUUAGAAUAUUUCCUAUGGACUCCUUCCUCUAUGGACCAGAUUUAAUGUAACUGUUUAUGUUGCCUGCUCUGUCCCUCCACCUCCUUUUUCCAGUUGCCCAGAGAUGUCAAACUUUUCUUGUAUAACUAUGGAAAAUGGCUAUCUUAUAUUGUUUUACUUACUCUCAUCUAGCUUAAGCCCUUUAGUAUCUUCUAAAUUCACUGACAAACAGACCUUGUCUUAUUAAUUAAAAAAAUCACUUACUCCAUAGCCUAAUUAUGCAACUUUCCUAGAUAAUACGUGUCAUAUUUUUCGUAAAAUUAUAUUUCCC
RNAcentral lists this long non-coding RNA (531 nucleotides) under Equus caballus (horse). RNAcentral describes it as "lncRNA (ENSECAG00000043993.1)". The record is from RNAcentral. Lineage: Eukaryota; Metazoa; Chordata; Mammalia; Perissodactyla; Equidae.